GCAAGUCGAACGGCAGCACAGGAUAGCUUGCUAUCCGGGUGGCGAGUGGCGGACGGGUGAGUAACGCGUAGGAAUCUACCUUUUCGUGGGGGAUAACCCGGGGAAACUCGGGCUAAUACCGCAUACGCCCUACGGGGGAAAGCGGGGGACCUUCGGGCCUCGCGCGGAAUGAUGAGCCUGCGUCCUAUCAGGUAGUUGGUGAGGUAAUGGCUCACCAAGCCGACGACGGGUAGCUGAUCUGAGAGGACGACCAGCCACACUGGGACUGAGACACGGCCCAGACUCCUACGGGAGGCAGCAGUGGGGAAUAUUGGACAAUGGGGGAAACCCUGAUCCAGCAAUACCGCGUGUGUGAAGAAGGCCUUCGGGUUGUAAAGCACUUUUGGCAGGAAAAAAGGGCCGUGCGCUAAUAC
Molecule: ribosomal RNA, 413 nt
Filed under: uncultured soil bacterium
Lineage: Bacteria
Description: bacterial SSU rRNA
Rfam family: Bacterial small subunit ribosomal RNA
Source: RNAcentral